RNAcentral lists this ribosomal RNA (622 nucleotides) under Streptomyces sp. RNAcentral describes it as "bacterial SSU rRNA". It matches the Rfam family "Bacterial small subunit ribosomal RNA", at positions 33 to 669 of the family's 1533-position model. Lineage: Bacteria; Bacillati; Actinomycetota; Actinomycetes; Kitasatosporales; Streptomycetaceae. The record is from RNAcentral.
ACGCUGGCGGCGUGCUUAACACAUGCAAGUCGAACGAUGAAGCCGCUUCGGUGGUGGAUUAGUGGCGAACGGGUGAGUAACACGUGGGCAAUCUGCCCUGCACUCUGGGACAAGCCCUGGAAACGGGGUCUAAUACCGGAUACGACACAGGAAGGCAUCUUCUCUGUGUGGAAAGCUCCGGCGGUGCAGGAUGAGCCCGCGGCCUAUCAGCUUGUUGGUGGGGUGAUGGCCUACCAAGGCGACGACGGGUAGCCGGCCUGAGAGGGCGACCGGCCACACUGGGACUGAGACACGGCCCAGACUCCUACGGGAGGCAGCAGUGGGGAAUAUUGCACAAUGGGCGAAAGCCUGAUGCAGCGACGCCGCGUGAGGGAUGACGGCCUUCGGGUUGUAAACCUCUUUCAGCAGGGAAGAAGCGCAAGUGACGGUACCUGCAGAAGAAGCACCGGCUAACUACGUGCCAGCAGCCGCGGUAAUACGUAGGGUGCGAGCGUUGUCCGGAAUUAUUGGGCGUAAAGAGCUCGUAGGCGGCUUGUCACGUCGGAUGUGAAAGCCCGGGGCUUAACCCCGGGUCUGCAUUCGAUACGGGCAGGCUAGAGUUCGGUAGGGGAGAUCGGAAUUC